Long non-coding RNA from Bacillus rossius redtenbacheri, 1878 nucleotides. RefSeq lists it as uncharacterized. The transcript has 5 exons. The record is from RefSeq and is a predicted model, not a curated record. NCBI's taxonomy places the organism in Eukaryota, Metazoa, Arthropoda, Insecta, Phasmatodea, Bacillidae.
UGCGGGAAACAACGCCGCCAGUUUUGAAGCGGCGGCCGCGCCAAGGCGGCAAACCGUUUUUAUCGGCCGGGCAAUUUGGGAGUGUAAAUACGACAGCUGCGAUCUGAUGAGGCGUGCGUGUGUGUUGUGUGUGUCAGUGCGAGCCGGCGCCCGGAUACCAUCUUGCAGUAAGCAAGUGGAUAACAAGGAAGAGAUACGUCAGGUCCUGUGCCUCGCCUAAGUUACCCCGUGCAAAAAUCUAAUCGACCGUUGUGAGUGCUUAACUAGCUUGAUCACGUCGUAAAUGAUACACUAUCAAGAAUUUAAAUAAAGAAUUGUUUAUUUUUCUGCCAAAUGAGUAAACACCAUCGUGAAGCGAUGCUUUGAAAUAACGCUAUUGCCAAAAUGAAGAUAAAGGUCCAUGAAGACCUGAUGACCAAGUGUAGAUAUUCCCAAAAGCACGCCUCAGAAACCACUUAAGCGGACUAACACUUGCAGCGAUCGCCGCCAGCGGCGCCACCGUCGCCCGCUCUGCAUGUUAUCCCGCCGUCAUGCCUCAUCUCCUCGUCCUAUGUGCGCCGUACGCCGUGCGCCGUGCGCCGUGCGCCGUGUGCCGUACGCCGUACACCGUACACCGUGCGCCGUGCGCCGUGCGCCGUGCGGCAUCACGCGCCGUGGGCGUCGUCAACCAAGCGGCGGUUCCUGCGCGACAGCCUGGAAGCUACACUGUAAAAAAAAGAACACGUGUAAUUCAGUACACGUGAUAGAAGUGAAAGUUCUUUGGCAAUUCAAUCCUCUACUCCCUAGAAGUGCUUCUAUCCAGAAGAAACCAUUCUUGUGAGGAAAGUUCUGCCUACAUGUUACUCUGGGGUAUGCUUCAGCGACACCUGAGCCCGCAGAACCGACGAGGAAGUACGUGCACAGAGUCCACCCCCUGGACCGAGGAGUUGCGGCGCAGGACCGAGAACUGCUGCCAACUUCGCAGAAGCGACAAUUCAAGAUGGAGAAACCACCGGACAGGCAGGAGAUGUGAUAUCCGAGCACUCCAUGGCUGCAAGACAUAAUACCUACUUACUGUCAUGUGAUGUACAUUUUGUAAAAAGAGAAAGAAAACCCUGAGUAACGUGUGUUGUGUUCCUCUGGUGGCGAGUAUGGUAACUAACGAUCUGUUCAAACCAAUUAUUGCAACACCAAAAAAAAAAUUACAUGUUAUUUAGAAAAAAAUCCUUGCUCAACCAUAUACCUUUAUAAAUUGGUUAGGGUAUCUAUAAUUCUAAGAUAUUAAAAGAUUGUACAUUAGAGUUGAGAUAACUAGUAGGUAUGUACUUAGACAAGUUAAAUUAUGUACUUAGUUCAUGCCAUUGACAGAAAAUAAAUCUACACAUACCUAAUUCUACUUCAUUAAACAAUAUCAGAGAGAUUGUAGCUAUUUUUACUAACAAAUUAAAAAUUAAAAGUAAUCUUCAAAUAAAAAAGAUAACCUAUCACACUUUGGCUAGUUAAUUUAAUUGAUUAUGAAAUAUCUUUAAUAUUUAAGUAGGAUUUUCUUUUCUAUGGUAGCUUAUGAAGGUACCCAGGCUACGUGUAUUUUUCUUUGAAUCGUAAUUUUGAAUUUUAUAUAGGCCUAUUAUUGGAUCGCUUUAAUUCUUUAUCUUAUAUAGAAUUAUUUGCUCCUUUAUACAAUUUAGUAUUAAAAAUAUUAAGUAGGAUUUUAUUUUCUUUCGUUAAGAUUUUUUUGCUGUGUCUUUUUUAUAGAUAAUUUUUUUCCAUAAUUUAGUUAAAAAAGUUAAAAUACCUCAUGUAGCAUAAAGCUUGCUUUGUUGUGUUAAAUUUAAGAAAAAUUAUCUGUAAUUAUGAAGUUAAAUUAUAUAAAUUAAAUAAAUAAAAUAUUUAACAAUG